AUUGAACGCUGGCGGCAUGGCUAAAACAUGCAAGUCGAGCGCGAAAGCCCUUCGGGGCGAGUAGAGCGGCGCAAGGGCGAGUAAUGCAUGCCUGACGUACCCCCAGGUGCGGGAUAGCUAGGGGAAACCCUGGGUAAUACCGCAUAAUCCGGCAACGGCAAAGGCUUGCUGCCUGGGGAUCGGGGCAUGUCCUAUCAGCUUGUUGGUGAGGUAACGGCUCACCAAGGCAAAGACGGGUAGCGGGUGUGAGAGCAUGACCCGCCGCAUCGGGACUGAGACACUGCCCGGACUCCUACGGGAGGCUGCAGUAACGAAUAUUCCGCAAUGCGCGAAAGCGUGACGGAGCAAUGCCGCGUGAAGGAUGAAGCCCCUCGGGGUGUAAACUUCUGUCAGGGUUUAGGAAUACUGACCAGACCCAGAGGAAGGACCGGCUAACUCUGUGCCAGCAGCCGCGGUAAUACAGAGGGUCCAAGCGUUAAUCGGAAUCACUGGGCUUAAAGCGUGCGCAGGCGGACUGGCAAGUGCCUUGUGAAAUCCCACGGCUCAACCGUGGAAUUGCUCGGCAGACUGCCCGUCUUGAGCCCGGCAGGGGCCGUCAGAACGGUAGGUGGAGCGGUGAAAUGCGUAGAUAUCUACCGGAAUGCCAAAGGGGAAGCCAGACGGCUGGGCCGGAGCUGACGCUCAGGCACGAAAGCGUGGGUAGCGAACGGGAUUAGAUACCCCGGUAGUCCACGCCCUAAACGAUGUGCACUAGAUCGAGGAGGUUUCAACGCCAUCUCGGUCGUAGC
RNAcentral lists this ribosomal RNA (788 nucleotides) under uncultured Lentisphaerota bacterium. RNAcentral's name for it is "bacterial SSU rRNA". It matches the Rfam family "Bacterial small subunit ribosomal RNA", at positions 28 to 852 of the family's 1533-position model. The record is from RNAcentral. Lineage: Bacteria; Pseudomonadati; Lentisphaerota.